GAGAUAUUGUACACACACUGUACACACACGCAGUGAGCCCCAAAGCCUCAGAUGUUCUCCCAAGGACCCAAAUUCAAUCAGGAAUGAGCUUUUUUCCCAGCCAUUCCCAGGAGUUCUAUAGUUGCCAUGGUGCCAAGUGGCAGCCUAGGCAGAGAGCUCAACGACCCAAUAGGAAGCUAUGUAUGUAGAGUUGGCAGUGUGCCAGGGGUUUCAUUGCUCAGGAGGAUACUUCUGAAGUAAGGACUGAGUGAGCUGUGCUUUUCGGGGAACAAACUUCACCACAGAGUCUCAAUACAGAGAAGACAGCAGAGAG
Molecule: long non-coding RNA, 313 nt
Filed under: Salmo salar (Atlantic salmon)
Lineage: Eukaryota; Metazoa; Chordata; Actinopteri; Salmoniformes; Salmonidae
Description: lncRNA (ENSSSAG00000088990.1, ENSSSAG00020018596.1)
Source: RNAcentral